Molecule: long non-coding RNA, 417 nt
Organism: Myzus persicae (green peach aphid)
Lineage: Eukaryota; Metazoa; Arthropoda; Insecta; Hemiptera; Aphididae
Exons: 2
Source: RefSeq, a predicted model, not a curated record
GACGAAGGUGUUCUAAAUAUAAAAUGUCCUAAAAAGAUCGUCGACAAUAGUAAUACUAAAGUCCACCCCUGUUAAGGUCCAUGCAGAUGAAUAUAUAAUUUUCCCGCGGAGCGUAAAGAAAAGCGACUGACAACCGAAGAUAAUUUUAAGAAAAAUGCCAUCAAGCGUGAUGGUUUUUAUUGAGUUCGGAUCAGAAUCGACAAUUUGUUGAACAGGAUAACAAUUUAUUCGAUCACACAGCGAUUACAAUCGACGAUGUUUGAAUAUAAUACACAUAAGUACGCAACACACACACAUAUUGUGCUGGGAUUACGUCGUGCUACCGCGUAUAUGGUCGCGGUCCUGCAGCAGCAGAUAAACUACCUACCUACUCACCUAUUAUGGACACGGGCAGUGCAAUCGAUGGUGGGUACUCAC